This 923-nucleotide long non-coding RNA is filed under the name Homo sapiens (human). Its description in RNAcentral is "HSALNT0127820". Lineage: Eukaryota; Metazoa; Chordata; Mammalia; Primates; Hominidae. The record is from RNAcentral.
CACAGAGGCUGGAGGAAUAGGAGAACUUCAGACAUCCAAGAAAAAGCCAGUGACUGUUCCUGAGGGCGCCUGUUAAGAGCUGGCUUUUUGGCUGUGGUGACCAGUCAGUCACGACCACUCUUCCGAGAGCAACACCAAGUGGAAACCCCGCCAAGUGGGCUUUUCAGGAACCCUCUCACCACCCAAGGCCUUUGGAUCUUAUAUCUAACAAAUUACAUGUUACAUUAUUUUUUAAAAAACAGGUUAGUGACAACUAAGAUAGUCUCUCCAGAAUUAGAGUCUGAUGUCAGAUUCAGAAAAUCCCCCGUUCCUUGGGAAUUCCCAUGUCACUCAUUCUGCAUUAAUGAUAUUUAUUCUCUCUCAUUGUUUUAUUCUUAAAAAAUAGCUCCCCUGGUUGCAAUGUGAUGUUAAGUAUAUUACAUGUCAGUUCAUAUAUUACAGCUCGCACCACUCCUGGGUAUAUGUUUCCAAAUAGCUCUCACUCCACAGUUCCAGUUCCACAUUAAAUAUGGGCUGCCAUGAGUGGAGCCCGAAAGGGUUGUCUGUUCCAUUCCCGCUUCUUGUUUUCCCUGGAAGUAUUUUCCCCUCCUAUUUUAUACUCCUCAGGGAAGAUGUGCCCUCCAGUAAGAAAAGUCUACCUGGGGAAGGUAGAAUGUGUUCUUGCUCUAGAGUUUCUUGAGGGGAGGUGAGAAGGGGCAGCUGUUUGACAGAGUGCAUGCAGCCUUCCAGGGGCUGGCACUGGUUUGGCACAUGAGUGGACACCCUGACUAGGGGAUGUGGGAUGCCAGAAACCAUCAAGAUCCUUGGAAAAAAGCCAAAAUAUCCUUCCUUCUGCAACAUGAACAUCAAAAUGAGUUUUUGUCUUCUGUGGCUAUCAUGCUCUUGACCAUCUGUGUUGUAGGGUCAUUAACAGACAGUUUCAG